GACGAACGCUGGCGGCGUGCCUAAUACAUGCAAGUAGAACGCUGAAGGAGGAGCUUGCUUCUCUGGAUGAGUUGCGAACGGGUGAGUAACGCGUAGGUAACCUGCCUGGUAGCGGGGGAGAACAAUUGGAAACGAUAGCUAAUACCGCAUAAGAGUAGAUGUACCAUGACAUUUGCUUAAAAGGUGCAAUUGCAUCACUACCAGAUGGACCUGCGUUGUAUUAGCUAGUUGGUGAGGUAACGGCUCACCAAGGCAACGAUACAUAGCCGACCUGAGAGGGGGGUCGGCCACACUGGGACCGAGACACGGCCCAGGCCCCCACGGGAGGGAGCCGUAGGGAAUCUUCGGCCAUGGACGGAAGUCUGACCGAGCCACGCCGGGUGAGUGAAGAAGGUUUUCGGAUCGUAAAGCUCUGUUGUAAGAGAAGAACGAGUGGGAGAGUGGAAAGUUCACACUGUGACGGUAUCUUACCAGAAAGGGACGGCUAACUACGUG
RNAcentral lists this ribosomal RNA (495 nucleotides) under uncultured bacterium. RNAcentral's name for it is "partial 16S ribosomal RNA". It matches the Rfam family "Bacterial small subunit ribosomal RNA", at positions 28 to 507 of the family's 1533-position model. The record is from RNAcentral.